Molecule: long non-coding RNA, 1416 nt
Filed under: Mus musculus (house mouse)
Lineage: Eukaryota; Metazoa; Chordata; Mammalia; Rodentia; Muridae
Description: long non-coding RNA chr19:53038798-53040214
Source: RNAcentral
ACUGAUCUUCCUCUCCAUUUAAGAGGAAGGACAGGCGUUUUGCCAGCUAAGGAAGCUGCAUGCUUCUCCGGUUUGUUCCAGCUUUUAGGUCAGCUAAGACGAGAGAGUCGUGGCCAGCUCUGCAAGAACCUAUUUUAGGGUCCUGGAGACACUGACUGGAUCAGGAUAUAACUUGCUGAGACCUUAGAGAUGUCUUCCAAAUGAUUAUUCCCAACAGCUUCAAAACUUACUGCUCACUUGGGCUAACGAUCGGGCGUUAAAGCGUCCAAACCUAGCUCCUAACCCUAUGUACAAACAAAAACAUUCUUCACGUAGGGCUUUUUCAUCUCAGUCGGUGGCUAUUCCAUGUUUUAAGGGCAAAAAUCUUGACGUAAUAUCUGCCUUAUUCCCCGGUCCAUGCCCCAUCUGCCCAAGAUCCGCUUGGUCCUGGCUUCAAAGUAGAUCCGUAGCCCCACCCACUUCCAUCACGUCACCUAUCUGGGGUGCAUCACUUCCACCUCACCUGUGUGACGCCUGCAUAGAAGCCAGACCGAACCUACCCUGAGGUGUCCACUUGACCAUUCUAGAAUCGCCUGGGAGAAAAAGCCCCUGGGCCUGGCUGGAGGGUUGUCUUGUGUUAUUUAAGACGGGCAGAACCACUCCCUAGGUAGAGGAUUCUAGACUGUAUAAAAUCAAUGGAAAUGAGCUGAAGACGAGCAUGAAUAUAUUACUCUCGCCUCUUGACUACCGAUGUAAGGCCUGGCUCCCUGACUAGAUGAACGGAAACUGGAAGCCGAAGAAGUCCUUUACCCCUCAAAUUCCUUUCGCCAGAAUGUUUUAUCACAACGACGGGAAAAGAAACUAAGCAGUCCCCAUUUCAUUUGGAGUGACUCUUCUUAAUCACAGCUCACAGGUCACCUCACUCCACCUAAGCUGGCCUUCCCUAUCUUUGACACUCACAGUCCCGUCAAGUGUCACCUCCUCGAUGAAACCUGCUUAAAGCUGUAAACCGCUUGGACCCAUCCGGGCCCCUUUCCCACAGCUUCUACUGUUGUUCACCGGAGUUCAUCUUCUGAGGAUAGUCUCUCUACCCUGCACACAUACUAUAGCCAUCAGAGCAAGAGUUGUUUCUGUUGCUUAAAAAUGGGCAGGAGGGCUAGAGAGAUGGCUCAGCGGUUAAGAGCACUGACCGCUCUUCCAGAGGUCAUGAGUUCAAAUCCCAGCAACCACAUGAUGGCUCACAACCAUCUGUAAUGAAAUCUGAUGCCCUCAUCUGGUGUGUCUGAAGAUAGCUACAGUGUGUAUAUAUAUAUAUAUAUAUAUAUAUAUAUAUAUAUAUAUAUAUAUAUAAUAAAAUCUUUUUUUUUAAUGGGCAGAAGCUGACAGUCAUCCUCACGUGUUUGCUGCUGAAAUAAAUGUCCCCAGAUUGCACACUUC